RNAcentral lists this ribosomal RNA (460 nucleotides) under uncultured bacterium. Its description in RNAcentral is "partial 16S ribosomal RNA". It matches the Rfam family "Bacterial small subunit ribosomal RNA", at positions 338 to 795 of the family's 1533-position model. The record is from RNAcentral.
CCUACGGGAGGCAGCAGUGAGGAAUAUUGGUCAAUGGACGAGAGUCUGAACCAGCCAAGUAGCGUGAAGGAUGACUGCCCUAUGGGUUGUAAACUUCUUUUAUAUGGGAAUAAAAUGAUCCACGUGUGGGAUUUUGUAUGUACCAUAUGAAUAAGGAUCGGCUAACUCCGUGCCAGCAGCCGCGGUAAUACGGAGGAUCCGAGCGUUAUCCGGAUUUAUUGGGUUUAAAGGGAGCGUAGGUGGUUUGUUAAGUCAGUUGUGAAAGUUUGCGGCUCAACCGUAGAAUUGCAGUUGAAACUGGCAGUCUUGAGUACAGUAGAGGUGGGUGGAAUUCGUGGUGUAGCGGUGAAAUGCUUAGAUAUCACGAAGAACUCCGAUUGCGAAGGCAGUUCACUGGACUGCAACUGACACUGAGGCUCGAAAGUGUGGGUAUCAAACAGGAUUAGAUACCCCUGUAGUC